AAGUCGUAACAAGGUUUCCGUAGGUGAACCUGCGGAAGGAUCAUUAAUCGAACCAACAUGUUUCUCAGCAUGAUAUUUCAAACCCCACCUGUGUACCUUACCUGUUGCUUCCGUGCUGCGCAUGCUGCAAACGUGUGCCUUGCGGUCCGGAGUACCUAUUGCUCCUAUGGCCCGUGGGAGCCGGCACGGGAGGUAACCCACAAACUCUUGCCCUUGAAUGCCUUCCGUCUGAACUGUAGUACAUGAAAAGUUAAAACUUUCAACAACGGAUCUCUUGGUUCUCGCAUCGAUGAAGAACGCAGCGAAAUGCGAUAAGUAGUGUGAAUUGCAGAAUUCCGUGGAUCAUCGAAUCUUUGAACGCACAUUGCGCCUCCUGGUAAUCCGUGAGGCAUGCCUGUUCGAGCGUCACUAAAAUCAAAUCAACCACCACCCCAUGUGCUUGGUCAUGGAGGAAGAGUCCGUCUUGUUGCGGUCUCCCCUCCCAAAAUCAACGGCGGAAAGUCGCUGGCACUCGGCGUAGGAGUAUUAUUCGCCGAUUACCCAGUGUCGUUCCUGCCACCAAAUGCCCACGAUUCUCUUGAUUGACCUCGGAUCAGGUAGGGAUACCCGCUGAACUUAAGCAUAUCAAUAAGCGGAGGAAAAGAAACCAACAGGGAUUGCCUUAGUAACUGCGAGUGAAGCGGCAAAAGCUCAAAUUUGAAAUCGGUGUCUAUCUAAGGCGUCGAGUUGUAAUUUGGAGGGACAACUUCGGGCUGAACCACAUCGUAAGUUCCUUGGAACAGGACGUCAUAGAGGGUGAGAAUCCCGUGUCUCGAUGUCGGGUCAAACCAUGUGAAGUGUCUCCGACGAGUCGAGUUGUUUGGGAAUGCAGCUCAAAAUGGGUGGUAAAUUUCAUCUAAAGCUAAAUAUUGGCGAGAGACCGAUAGCGCACAAGUAGAGUGAUCGAAAGAUGAAAAGCACUUUGAAAAGAGAGUCAAAAAGUACGUGAAAUUGUUGAAAGGGAAGCGCUUGCGACCAGACUCGAUCUUUGGUGAUCGGCCGGGCUUCGGUUCGGUGCCUCUCACCAUUGAUUGGGCCAGCAUCGGUUCCGACGGUGGGAUAAAAGGAGGAGGAAUGUGGCUCCCUUUGGGGAGUGUUAUAGCCACCUUCAAAAUGCCGCCAGUCGGGACCGAGGACCGCGCUUCGGCUAGGAUGCUGGUGUAAUGGUCUUAAGCGACC
RNAcentral lists this ribosomal RNA (1218 nucleotides) under uncultured fungus. Its description in RNAcentral is "eukaryotic LSU rRNA". The stretch from base 583 to 1218 matches the Rfam family "Eukaryotic large subunit ribosomal RNA", at positions 1 to 649 of the family's 3401-position model. Lineage: Eukaryota; Fungi. The record is from RNAcentral.